CANCNNUAUACAUGCAAGUCGAACGAGAAAGUUCCUUCGGGAGCGAGUAAAGUGGCGGACGGGUGAGUAACGCGUAGGAAUCUACCUUUCAGUGGGGGAUAGCUCGGGGAAACUCGAAUUAAUACCGCAUACACCCUUCGGGGGAAAGGGGGCCUCUCCUUGGAAGCUCUCGCUGUUAGAUGAGCCUGCGUGAGAUUAGCUUGUUGGUAAGGUAAUGGCUUACCAAGGCUACGAUCUCUAGCUGGUCUGAGAGGACGAUCAGCCACACUGGGACUGAGACACGGCCCAGACUCCUACGGGAGGCAGCAGUAGGGAAUAUUGGACAAUGGGGGCAACCCUGAUCCAGGCAUGCCGCGUGUGUGAAGAAGGCCUUAGGGUUGUAAAGCACUUUAAGUGAGGAAGAAAAGAUUUAAAUUAAUACUUUAAGUCCCUGACAUUACUCACAGAAUAAGGACCGGCUAACUCCGUGCCAGCAGCCGCGGUAAUACGGAGGGUCCAAGCGUUAAUCGGAAUUACUGGGCGUAAAGCGCGCGUAGAUGGUUUAUUCAGUUGGGUGUGAAAUCCCUGGGCUCAACCUAGGAACUGCAUUCAAAACUUAUAAACUAGAGUACGAAAGAGGAGAGUAGAAUUCAUGGUGUAGCGGUGAAAUGCGUAGAGAUCAUGAGGAAUACCAGUGGCGAAGGCGACUCUCUGGUUCGAGACUGACAUUGAGGUGCGAAAGCGUGGGUAGCAAACAGGAUUAGAUACCCUGGUAGUCCACGCCGUAAACGAUGAGAACUAGCCGUUGGA
Molecule: ribosomal RNA, 789 nt
Filed under: uncultured SAR86 cluster bacterium
Lineage: Bacteria; Pseudomonadati; Pseudomonadota; Gammaproteobacteria
Description: SSU rRNA
Rfam family: Bacterial small subunit ribosomal RNA
Source: RNAcentral